CUACUUUACAGAUCUGAGCGUCAGGCACUGAAAGGGGCACCCUGGGUGGGGUCCUAGUCUGUAGUUCAGUGCAUCAGGCGUUUGAUGGACCAGCCUCUCUAUUGUUCAGCUGCGGAUUCUGGCGUGUGGGGGGAGAGAGGCUAUGGUGAUGGCUCCACCCCCUACCUGUGACUCAGCAAUAUGGCCCUGCUUCCAUGGCUGCCAGGCUUUCCUCCACAGGCAUUUCCCACCACAGUCUCCUCCCACACAUCCCCUCAAUCUGUCUCUCUUCAGUCAACAGCAGCCCUCACCCCGGGAUUGCUCCACAAUCCCUAAACUCCAGUUCCCAGCCUCUGCGCCUUCCAGGGGAUCUACUUCCCUGUCUGGGCAGAUACAGCAAGGAGAAAGAUACGCACAAACCAAGAAGAGCGCUCUCACCAGACACGGAAUCUGCUACCACCUUGAUCUCAGAUUUCCCAGCCUCCAGAAUGGAACUUGGGGAAGUUUAGUAAAUCCCCCAACAUCCCCACACUGAGGAAUACCUGGCUGAAACGCUAAUCCAGUCUGUCUGGCCUGAAGCCCACAUGUUGUCUAUGGUGCUGUUUAGAGAGAAGAGCAAGACAGGCCCACAGUGCCAGCUGGGGAAGAGGCAGCAGUAGCAGGAACCCUUGCCAGCCCAGCCUUUGGGAAGACUCCGAGCACAGUGGGAAGGAGCUGAAUGCAUUUCAACUGCAGCCAAGUUAGUGGUUUUAACUUCAUAAACAUGUCUUAAAUGUUAUGGCUCUUAUCUCUAUGCCAUGGCAUUCC
Molecule: long non-coding RNA, 786 nt
Organism: Bos taurus (domestic cattle)
Lineage: Eukaryota; Metazoa; Chordata; Mammalia; Artiodactyla; Bovidae
Source: Ensembl